CUGUUUCUCUCUCUACAAAUACAUACACUUUUCUGUGUCUAUAGGUUUUGCAUUCCCUACUCUUUUAACUCUCUUUUGAGUAGUGACCCUCUAACAAAGCUACAUCAACAACUUCAUCAUUGUGUGAUCCUUCAUGGUGCCUCUGCUUUUCCAUUGAUACACAAAAAAACACUGUAGGCAUCUUGGAUUUGGAGGUGUCUGAAAAGACUGCUAAAAUGGGAGAGAUAUGGUGUAGUGUUGUUAUUGUCUUGUUAUUCGGUAUCUUGAAUGUCGGGAAGGCUGAAAUCUACAUAGUGACAGUUGAAGGAGAGCCUGUCAUA
Molecule: unclassified non-coding RNA, 320 nt
Filed under: Hevea brasiliensis (rubber tree)
Lineage: Eukaryota; Viridiplantae; Streptophyta; Magnoliopsida; Malpighiales; Euphorbiaceae
Source: RNAcentral